RNAcentral lists this ribosomal RNA (492 nucleotides) under uncultured bacterium. Its description in RNAcentral is "partial 16S ribosomal RNA". It matches the Rfam family "Bacterial small subunit ribosomal RNA", at positions 29 to 507 of the family's 1533-position model. The record is from RNAcentral.
AGUGAACGCUGGCGGUAGGCCUAACACAUGCAAGUCGAAGGGCAGCACAGUAAGAGCUUGCUCUUACGGGUGGCGAGUGGCGGACGGGUGAGGAAUACAUCGGAAUCUACUUUUUCGUGGGGGAUAACGUAGGGAAACUUACGCUAAUACCGCAUACGACCUACGGGUGAAAGCAGGGGAUCUUCGGACCUUGCGCGAUUGAAUGAGCCGAUGUCGGAUUAGCUAGUUGGCGGGGUAAAGGCCCACCAAGGCGACGAUCCGUAGCUGGUCUGAGAGGAUGAUCAGCCACACUGGAACUGAGACACGGUCCAGACUCCUACGGGAGGCAGCAGUGGGGAAUAUUGGACAAUGGGCGCAAGCCUGAUCCAGCCAUACCGCGUGGGUGAAGAAGGCCUUCGGGUUGUAAAGCCCUUUUGUUGGGAAAGAAAAGCAGCAGGUUAAUACCCCGCUGUUCUGACGGUACCCAAAGAAUAAGCACCGGCUAACUUCGUG